CCUACGGGAGGCAGCAGUUGGGAAUAUUGGGCAAUGGGCGCAAGCCUUACCCAGCAAUACCGCGUGAGUGAAGAAGGUCUUCGGAUUGUAAAGCUCUUUGAUCAGGGACCAACAGAUGACGGUACCUGAAGAACAAGCCCCGGCUAACUCCGUGCCAGCAGCCGCGGUAAAACGUAGGGGGCGAGCGUUGUCCGGAAUGACUGGGGGGAAAGGGUGAGUAGGCGGCAUAAUAAGUUAGAAGUGAAAUACCCAGGGCUUAACUCGGGUGCUGCUUCUAAGACUGGUGAGUUUGAGUGCGGUAGAGGGUAAUGGAAUUCCUAGUGGAGCGGUGGAAUGCGUAGAGAUUAGGAGGAACACCAGAGGCGAAGGCGAUUAACUGGACCGUGACUGACGCUGAGGCACGAAAGUGUGGGUAGCAAACAGGAUUAGAUACCCUAGUAGUC
This 443-nucleotide ribosomal RNA is filed under the name uncultured bacterium. Its description in RNAcentral is "partial 16S ribosomal RNA". It matches the Rfam family "Bacterial small subunit ribosomal RNA", at positions 338 to 795 of the family's 1533-position model. The record is from RNAcentral.